Molecule: long non-coding RNA, 6827 nt
Filed under: Medicago truncatula (barrel medic)
Lineage: Eukaryota; Viridiplantae; Streptophyta; Magnoliopsida; Fabales; Fabaceae
Description: long non-coding RNA (MTRU_LNC003249)
Rfam family: Plant small nucleolar RNA R71 (bases 5578-5684)
Source: RNAcentral
CCAAGCCUAUUUCGCUGACUUGAUUAUUAUUAGUUCCCUUGAAGAUCGAAACUAUAUGUCUCAAAGAUUGCAAAGACUAUUUCGCUGCCUUUGCAAUCCUUGUCUAAAUUCACUUGUUCGAAUAUCAAAGUUCCACUUUCAUUUUAUGAAUUGAUAUUUGAGAUGAUGGAUGAAAAAUUAUCAAACCCUCCAUUUUUGUUUCCACAGUUUGAUAAUGGUUGAUCCAUGUUUAAGCGGUGAAUUUAGAUAAGAAAUUAGGGUUACAUAAGAUUAAGGCUUAGAGCUUGGUUUGAUUAGGAUUAGGUCAUUUAGACUUAUCCAACAAUCCCAAGACAAGGAGAAGUCUACUCACUCAUGUUCAUCGUAGACAUGGGGGAGAAGAGAGAAAGCAUAAAAGUAAAUGACAAGAAAAUAAAGGAAAAGAAAAGAACUUUAAUUAGAAAAGCAAUUGUCACUUCUUGAAUUCCAAGUAAAGAUGAAUAUUUGUGAUGGCUAGCUACUCUAUUUAUAGCAUACAUUCGACUUAAAAUCUAAGCAAUUACAUUACUGGAAUGUUCCAUAAGAAACUGCGAGCUAAAAUAGAGUAGCUUAAAAUCUAAGCAAAAGCAGUGAAAGUGACUCUAGAGGGUGGCACGGCCGUGCCAAUGCUAGCACGGGCCGUGCCAAGCUUCUGACUUUGGGGAGACAUAUUUUUGUCUCUCAAUCUUUGUAUUUUUGCAUUGAAUCAGCUCCAAGUCCCUUUCUUUUGCUCCAAGAUUCAAUCCAUCCAAUAUUCUUUCCUGAAAUAAAAUAGAAUGCAAUUUGUAGUAAACUAUCCUAAAAAGGAAAUAAUACUAAUAUCAAAUAAAAUAAAAUCUAAUUAAAAUUAAACUAAAUAACAUAUAAAAAUAGGUAAUAAAUGACUCAUCAAACUCCCCCACACUUGAAUCUUUGCUUGUCCUCAAGCAAAAGGCAUAGACAUGGCAGCAACAAAAGGAUUAAUAUAUGACAAUUGAAAUAAAAUCUUAUGUCUCUUUCAAGGUUUCAUUUCAAUGUACACUAAUCACAACUUCAAGUAUUCCUUGUGAACUUUAUUCAACCCAACAACAAGUCUUAAGUGAGUGUGUGUGUGUAGUCCAACCAUUUUCUUGCUCCUGUAUAAGAUAGAUAUUAUGAGGAAGAGGUUCUAACCUUAACACUAAAGUGACCGAGAAAAAUCCUUUCUUCAUUUCAUAUAAGAGAGAUGGGAGUUACUUAGAUAGAUUUGGCAAUUUAGAUACUUGGGGGCUUGUAGAUGCCUAGGGGCUAUCAUUUCACAUUGGAAGUCCGCGAGCGGGUAUCCUUUCCUCCAAGUUUCCAUGAUCACCCUAAGUAGUGCUACAACUUUAUUCAUCUUCACUUAGGAAGUUCCUCUUUUUUAGAGGGUUUUAUUCGAGCACAAUUUGUUUUGAGAAGUCAUCACCACAUUUAGGAAGUCAGUGAGAGAGUAUCCUUUCCUCCACGUGUUGGUGAUAUUCUUCUGCCCCAUUUUGGUUUACACAUUAUAGCACAUUAGAAUUAUUCCCACACAAACUUAUACUACUUUUACUCUGAAGAUUUUUUAGGGUCCAAGUUACCAUUAAAGUUAGAACGUGUUCCUUAAAAUACCUAUUCAUACACUUACUCAAGGAUUGCAACUAGGUGCUUUUCUCAUUGGAGAAUUUUCACAAUAAAACUUGAUGUGGGUAUAGCAGAACACUUACAACACAAGAAAUCACUUUCAUGUACAAGAAACGACCAUUGAAGAGACAAAAAAUUUAUGUCAUAAUAAAAUAAUAAAAACAAGCUGCUUAUUCAUGCCUUUUACAAUAAAACGAAACAAAAGAAUAAAGUUCAAGGGAGUUUGGAAACACUACGACUAAAGACACUUUAUUAGGCUCCCCCCACACUUAGGAGAAGCAUUGUCAUCAAUGAUUCAAAAUAGAAGAAAGAGGGGAAGGAGAAGAAGUAGUGAGAUAGAGAUUGAAGAGAUAAGGUGAAAGAGAGGAAGAGGAAAGCUCACAUUUUUAUUGAGGUCCAUAGGGAGGACCUUGGAGGUGGAAGUGUUGCAUCAUGUGCCGAAGCAUUUGGUUAUUCUCUUCGGAUAUGCGGUUGCCCCUUAGGACGUCAUUUCUUAGCCCGGAUAAUUCAACACCUUGCCUUUGUUGCUCGGUGCUUAUCCUUUGUACCUCAGUUUGCAUCCAUGCCCAUCUUUCAUUGUCGGCAUUAUGGUCAUGGGGUUCCUCUUCAUGGUGCACGUUUGCACCUUCCUCUUCACCUUGAUUAUGCUCUUCAUGUACCUGUAAUCCAUCACCAACAUACAACAAAUUUGCCUCCACCUCGGUGUUAGUCCGAGAUGGGUUAGGAAAUAGAAACAAAAGAGGUAUACGAAGUUGAAGUGCAUAGGUCAUGGUGGGUGAAUCUUAAUGAAAUUCAUAGCAACAAGGGUUUCAAUAUUAAGCCUAUUGUUGCCCUCAAUUGGAUUUAUCCCCUCUUCCUCACCCACUCCAAACUUCCUAGCGAUGAAGGUAAUGAUACCACCAACUACUAUCUCAGCUCUAUUAUCAGGUCUAGCACCUAUGGAGGAAAGGUAAUCAAGUAGGUAAAAGCAAGUAUGAACGGGGUUGUUACUAAGCAUUGCCCAAAGCAUAAAGAGUUCAUCCGUCCUAGUUGUUCCUACCUCUUUUUUCUACCCCAAAAUGGUACAAGCCAUGACUCUUUGGAGGUAUCUAAGCACUGGGUUGUGAAUGUUACUAGCCUUAUUGUUGCGAGGAUUAUAUUGCCUUAACCCGGUAAUGCGUUUCCAAAAGAGUGUGGGGUCAUAGUCUUCCGACUUUAGAUUUGGAUUCCAAGAGUCAUGGAUGAACCCCGCAUUUGCGAAGUCCAUCUCUAAACAAAAAUUUUCAAGAGACAUCUCGUAAUCCAUAUUCAAAAGUCGGAAGGAGACUCUAUGGUCGGGGUUAUCAAAGUUCACUUUAUCCUUCGUAAAUUCAAUAGAACUUAAGAAUUCGUAAGUAAAAUUUUCAAAACCUUUCAUAGGUCUAAGCAUAUCAACCCAUCCUAACUUUCCUAGUAAGCUAAACACAUUAUCCCUUAGUCCUAGUACACUCAAAGUAUAAGAAUCGGGAUAUCGACAAGGGUGCAAAAGUUUAGAGAUAAGAGUCUUAUACCUGUCCCUUUGCUUGGUGUCUUUGAAGAUUAUGCCAUGAUGCUUGGCUUGCGUUUUCUUCUUUGAUUGUGGUCCUCCGGAAGAGCUUGCUCCACCUUUCCUAGAUGCCAUAAUCCUUAACCUUGGUUUGACCUUUUGUGAUGGUGGUAAAGGUUGGUUUAGUGAUGGGGUUAAGGGUUAAGUGAGUUUUAAGAGUUGGGUUGUGGAGUUUGGUGAUGAAUUUGUGGGUUUUGGGUUAGGUUAAUGGGGGUGACGAAUUUGGGUGAUUUUGGUUUGGAUGGAUGAAAGUUGUUUUUCAAUGGUGUGUUAUGAUUGGAAUGGUGUUUGUGAUUGAUGGGGUAAAGAAAUGGUGUGAAUUGGUGAAGUUUUGAGGGAGAUAUGGAGUUUUCAGGUUUUGUGGUUAUAGAGGUUUUAGAGAAAAAUGGAAGGAUGAGAGAUGUUUGUGGUUGAGAAUGGGGGAUGAAGAAGAUGAAAGGUGAGGUAAAACUAUACCUGGAGUCGAGCACGGCCGUGCCAGCCUUAGCACGGGCCGUGCCAACUCCCUGGAUUGUGGAAUGGUUUUUGGAAGGCAAGGUCUGGCACGGCCGUGCCAGUGUGAGCACGGGCCGUGCCAAGGUUCUGGAUAAAUUGACUUCAAAAUUUUCCGUUUUCUCGAAUCAUGCUCGGACAAUUACCUACAAAACAAUUAAAAACAAAACAACAAAACAAAACAAAAGCAGUUAAAUGCGUGGGUUGCCUCCCACGAAGCGCUUCUUUAUAGUCAUUAGCUUGACGUUUUAAGAAAGUGUCCUUAGAAGGGAUCAAAGAGGUCAUAUUGUGUAGAUGACGCUAAUGAGCGUUCUUUCACAUCAUGACCUUUAAUCAUGUUACAAGAAUAGAGAGCGGGACCUUUCAUAAAAUUCUCUAACUCAAACCCUAUCAGCUCAUCACUUACUUGAAAAACAAUCCUACCAUUCUGAACAUCUACUAUAGCACCCGCAGUGGCGAGAAAGGUCCGUCCUAAAAUUAUAGGGCACUCGUUGUCCUCAUCUAUGUCAAGCACCAUGAAAUCAGUUGGGAUGUAUAUCCCUUCUAUUUUAACGGGGAUGUCCUCAACAUAUCCGACAGGUUGGAUAUCAGAACGAUCGGCUAACUUUAAUGUUGUUUCGGUAGGCUUUAACUCUCCCAUCCCCAGCCUUUUAAAGAGGGGUAAGGGCAACAAACUAACACUAGCUCCUAAAUGACAUAAGGCUCGGUUUAAGGUUUCACUCCCUAUCACACAAGGGAUGGCAAAACUUCCUGGAUCUCUAAGCUUUGGAGGUGGCUUCUUGAUGAUUGCACUUUUUUCUCUUGUGAAAGCUAUUAUCUCAUUUUUCUCUAUAGCCUUCUUCUUUGAAAAAAUGUCUUUUAAAAACUUGGCAUAUAGAGGCAUACGAGACAAAGCUUCAGCAAAGGGAAUCUGAACGCAAAUCUUUUUAAGUAUGUUUAAGAAUUUAUUAAAUCGAGCCUCCAAGUUAAGCUUAACGAGCCUUAAUGGGGAAAGGGCUUUGUUCUUGUCAAGUGGUUUCUUUAUCGCAUCCUUCUCACCUAGAAGCUUAACAUUCUCUCCCUUGACACUUUUGGCUUUAGCAACGGUCUCUUCUAACUUACUACCCCCAAGAGAAAUAGCAUUGACAUGAGCUUUGGGGUUUAUUUCAGGUCGACUGGGAAAGACUCCUGGUGUUUGAGAAGAGGUGGCCACUUGUUGGGCCACUUGGGAGAUUUGGGUUUCGAGCAUUUUGGUGUGUGUGGCGAUAGAAUCAACCUUGGUGGUGAGUUUGGAUAGAGAGUCGUUCAGAAAUCCUGUUUGGUUUUUUAGUUCUUGAAGUUGUUUAUUUUGAUUCAUCAUGCAAUUUUCCAACAAAAUUUCCAAACUUGAUUUCUGAGCCACCCUCUGGUUGUUUGUAUAGCCAGGUGGUGCUACUUGUCCAUAGGAACCUUGAGGGUUUUUGUAAAAGUUUUGAUUUGGCCUCGUUCCUUGGUUGUAUUGAGCAUAGUUCAAUUGCUCAAUACUAUUAGUAGCACUACCUAACUGACAAUCAACACCGAUAUGACCAAAUAUACCACAGAUUUCACAAGGAGGAGAUGUAGGAGAAGGUGUGACAGCAUUAACAUUAAGUUUUUCAAAUUUUUGAGUUAAGGCAUCAACCUUAGAAGCAAGGUGAUCAUAAUCAGAGACCUCGUACAUACCUGCCUCCUUUUUGGAGGGUGUGGAAGCGGUGAUGGCUCUUUCGUUGGUCCAUUGGUAGUGAUUCUGAGCCAUGUCUUCAAUCAAAGCAUAAGCCUCCGUGUAGUUCUUAUUCAUUAGUGCUCCACCUGCAGCUGCAUCAACAGACAUCUUAGUGGUAUAUGUUAAGCCAUUAUAAAAAGUGUGGACUAUGAGCCACUUUUCCAAACCAUGGUGGGGACAAAGUCUAACCAUUUCCUUGAAACGCUCCCACGCAUCAUAGAGAGACUCCCCAUCUUUUUGGUUGAACCGCAUGAUUUGGUCUCUUAGUUUGGCGGUUUUAGAAGGGGGAAAGAAUCGGGCAAGGAAUGCUCGCCUCAUUUGAUCCCAUGAAGUGAUGGAACCGACUUCUAGGGAAUGGAACCAAGCGCUAGCUCUAUCCCUUAAGGAAAAGGGAAAGAGAUGAAGUCUUAUGGCUUCUUGGUUCUCUUUUAUAGUGCCACUGAGUCUAAGGAAGGAAGAAAUAUGGAGAUUUGGAUCCUCAGUGGGUGAUCCAGAAAACUGAUUUUGCUGCACCAAAUUGAGUAGUGCAGGCUUGAUCUCGAAGUUGUUACCCUCAACCGUUGGGUACACGAUAAUAGCUUGUGGCUCCUCCGUUGAAGGAGUUGCAUACUCUUUGAGAGUGCGUUCAGCCAUAGCAGUAUUAUUUUGUGCCUCUCUCUUUUUCUUAUGCUAAUAUCUUUCGAUCUCAGGGAUAAAUUCUCCGAGACUUUUACUUCUUCGCAUAAGAAAUCGAGAACCCAAGAAGUUAAUGGUAAUACAAAGAAAGAAAGAAGUAGAAGAAAAGAGGGAGAAGAAGGAGUUCUAAUCAAAAAGAAAGAGUUAAUUAAAUUAGUUUACUCCCCGGCAGCGGCGCCAAAAACUUGAUGGGAUAAAACCGCAAGUGUACGGUCUUACCGAAGUAGUAUGAAAAUAGUAUCGUUCCGACAGGGAGUAGUUUAAUUCAAUUAACCUUUGAUGAUGAUUAGAGGAGAAAAGAGUUGUAAGUUGGGGUUUUCAAGCGAUUGAAAAGUAAUAAUAUAAAAGGAGCCUUGGGAUCGUCGGUUCAUCCAAAUGACAAGUCCUUCCCAAACCAAACUAUAAGCUUAUAACGUUAUGUUAGACCUAAUUUCUCAAGACAGUUUCUCUUUUGUUCCUUUAGCAACCAAGCCUAUUUCGCUGACUUGAUUACUAUUAGAUUUUGGUUCCUCUAACAACCAAGCCUAUUUCGCUGACUUGAUUAUUAUUAGUUCCCUUGAAGAUCGAAACUAUAUGUCUCAAAGAUUGCAAAGACUAUUUCGCUGCCUUUGCAAUCCUUGUCUAAAUUCACUUGUUCGAAUGUCAAAGCUCCACUUUCGUUUUAUGAAUUGAUAUUUGAGAUGAUGGAUGAACAAUUAUCAAACCCUCCACUUUCGUUUCCACAGUUUGAUAAUGGUU